This 224-nucleotide ribosomal RNA is filed under the name Bacillus pumilus. RNAcentral describes it as "partial 16S ribosomal RNA". It matches the Rfam family "Bacterial small subunit ribosomal RNA", at positions 1 to 220 of the family's 1533-position model. The record is from RNAcentral. Lineage: Bacteria; Bacillati; Bacillota; Bacilli; Caryophanales; Bacillaceae.
UUUUUCGGAGAGUUUGAUCCUGGCUCAGGACGAACGCUGGCGGCGUGCCUAAUACAUGCAAGUCGAGCGAACAGAAGGGAGCUUGCUCCCGGAUGUUAGCGGCGGACGGGUGAGUAACACGUGGGUAACCUGCCUGUAAGACUGGGAUAACUCCGGGAAACCGGAGCUAAUACCGGAUAGUUCCUUGAACCGCAUGGUUCAAGGAUGAAAGACGGUUUCGGCUG